UGCGGUUGAAAGCUCGUAGUUGGGUUUCUGCGGAGGAAGCGCGGUCCGCACUUGGUGCGUGUAUCUGGUCUACCUACGCAUCUUCCAGUGAAACGCUACUGCGCUUUAUUGCGUGGCGUGGCAAUCUGGACUUUUACUUUGAGGAAAUUGGAGUGUUUACAGCGAGCGAUUGGUUUGAACAUAUUAGCAUGGAAUAAUAACCUAGAACCUUGGUUCUAUUUUGUUGGUUUCUAGACUAGGGUAAUGAUCAAUAGGGAUAAUUGGGGGCAUUUGUAUCAACACGUCAGAGGUGAAAUUCUUGGAUUGUGUUACGACGAACCACUGCGAAAGCAUUUGCCAAGGAUGUUUUCAUUGAUCAAGAACGAAAGUGCAGGGAUCGAAGACGAUUAGAUACCGUCGUAUUCUGCACCGUAAACUAUGCCGAUUAAAGAUUGGAGGUCGUUCUUAUUGUGGCUCCUUCAGUAAUUUAUGAGAAAUCAAAAUUCUUGGGUUCCGGGGGGAGUAUGGUCGCAAGGCUGAAACUUAAAGGAAUUGACGGAAGGGCACCACCAGGAGUGGAGCCUGCGGCUUAAUUUGACUCAACACGGGGAAACUCACCAGGUCCAGACAUAGCAAGGAUUGACAGAAUGACAGCUCUUUCUUGAUUCUGUGGGUGGUGGUGCAUGGCCGUUCUUAGUUGGUGGAGUGAUUUGUCUGGUUAAUUCCGUUAACGAACGAGAUCUUAUCCUGCUAAAUAGGAACGUGUGUCUUCGGACAUGCAGGUUGCUUCUUAGAGGGACUUUGCGAAUUGAAGCGUAGGGAAGGUUGAGGCAAUAACAGGUCUGUGAUGCCCUUAGAUGUUCUGGGCUGCACGCGCGCUACACUGAUGCGUUCAACGAGUAUGCCUUGUCCGGCAGGACUGGGGAAUCUUGUGAAAGCGCGUCGUGAUGGGGAUAGAACACUGUAA
This 946-nucleotide ribosomal RNA is filed under the name uncultured Syndiniales. Its description in RNAcentral is "SSU rRNA". It matches the Rfam family "Eukaryotic small subunit ribosomal RNA", at positions 614 to 1589 of the family's 1831-position model. Lineage: Eukaryota; Dinophyceae; Syndiniales. The record is from RNAcentral.